UUUCCAGGUCGGCGCGCUGGUAGUCGAUACCGCUGUCAGCGGUAUCGGCCCGCGCGCGUUCGAGCAUGCGCUCGGAAAG
Molecule: transfer RNA, 79 nt
Filed under: Stenotrophomonas maltophilia
Lineage: Bacteria; Pseudomonadati; Pseudomonadota; Gammaproteobacteria; Lysobacterales; Lysobacteraceae
Description: tRNA-Asp
Source: RNAcentral